CCUACGGGUGGCAGCAGUAAGGAAUAUUGGUCAAUGGGCGUAAGCCUGAACCAGCCAAGUCGCGUGAGGGAUGAAGGUUCUAUGGAUCGUAAACCUCUUUUAUAAGGGAAUAAAGUGUGGGACGUGUCCUAUUUUGUAUGUACCUUAUGAAUAAGGAUCGGCUAACUCCGUGCCAGCAGCCGCGGUAAUACGGAGGAUCCGAGCGUUAUCCGGAUUUAUUGGGUUUAAAGGGUGCGUAGGCGGCCUUGUAAGUCAGCGGUGAAAGUCUGUGGCUCAACCAUAGAAUUGCCGUUGAAACUGGGGGGCUUGAGUAUGUUAGAGGCAGGCGGAAUGCGUGGUGUAGCGGUGAAAUGCUGAGAUAUCACGCAGAACACCGAUUGCGAAGGCAGCCUGCCAGGCCAUGACUGACGCUGAUGCACGAAAGCGUGGGGAUCAAACAGGAUUAGAUACCCUUGUAGUG
This 460-nucleotide ribosomal RNA is filed under the name uncultured bacterium. Its description in RNAcentral is "partial 16S ribosomal RNA". It matches the Rfam family "Bacterial small subunit ribosomal RNA", at positions 338 to 795 of the family's 1533-position model. The record is from RNAcentral.